This 500-nucleotide ribosomal RNA is filed under the name uncultured bacterium. RNAcentral describes it as "bacterial SSU rRNA". It matches the Rfam family "Bacterial small subunit ribosomal RNA", at positions 29 to 517 of the family's 1533-position model. The record is from RNAcentral.
AGUGAACGCUGGCGGCAUGCCUAACACAUGCAAGUCGAACGGCAGCACAGCAGUAGCAAUACUGUGGGUGGCGAGUGGCGGACGGGUGAGGAACACAUCGGAAUUUGCCCAGUCGUGGGGGAUAACGUAGGGAAACUUACGCUAAUACCGCAUACGACCUAACGGUGAAAGCGGGGGAUCGCAAGACCUCGCGCGGAUGGAUAAGCCGAUGUCGGAUUAGCUAGUUGGCGGGGUAAAGGCCCACCAAGGCGACGAUCCGUAGCUGGUCUGAGAGGAUGAUCAGCCACACUGGAACUGAGACACGGUCCAGACUCCUACGGGAGGCAGCAGUAGGGAAUAUUGGACAAUGGGCGCAAGCCUGAUCCAGCCAUGCCGCGUGAGUGAAGAAGGCCCUCGGGUUGUAAAGCUCUUUUGUCCGGAAAGAAAAGCGCCGGGUUAAUACCCUGGUGUCCUGACGGUACCGGAAGAAUAAGCACCGGCUAACUUCGUGCCAGCAGCCG